AGAAUCAACGCUGGCGGCGUGCCUAACACAUGCAAGUCGAACGCGGUUACCCCGCAAGGGGUAACUGAGUGGCGAACGGGUGAGUAACACGUGGGUGACCUACCUUCGAAUGGGGGAUAACGUCCCGAAAGGGACGCUAAUACCGCAUAACAUCCUGCUUUUGAACAGGUGGAGAUCAAAGCCGGGGAUCGCAAGACCUGGCGUUUGAAGAGGGGCCCGCGUCUGAUUAGCUAGUUGGUGAGGUAACGGCUCACCAAGGCGACGAUCAGU
This 270-nucleotide ribosomal RNA is filed under the name uncultured bacterium. RNAcentral describes it as "partial small subunit ribosomal RNA". It matches the Rfam family "Bacterial small subunit ribosomal RNA", at positions 26 to 284 of the family's 1533-position model. The record is from RNAcentral.